Gallus gallus (chicken) is the source of this 10243-nucleotide long non-coding RNA. RefSeq lists it as uncharacterized. The transcript has 2 exons. The record is from RefSeq and is a predicted model, not a curated record. Lineage: Eukaryota; Metazoa; Chordata; Aves; Galliformes; Phasianidae.
GCUGCCCUAGAAACAGGGCAGACAAAUCUCCUUAAAAUUAGAAAUGACCCCCUGUGAAACCAUAAAUCCUGUCCAUUCCCAUCCUCUUUCUGUUUCCCUGUAUGAACUAUAUAUAUUGCCCCUAUUUUUAUACAUGCACCCUAAGCAGUGAGCUAAAUUCUGGGUUCAAAUGGAAUUAUGUGCUAGCUUCUAGCUUACUUGAAACUGCGUUAUCCCCAUCUCUCCUUGGCUGGGAUCUGUCUCUGAAGGUAACUCUUUAAGGUGUAGAUGCAAAAUGACUGUCAGGAAGGAGUUUGCCCUAGGAACUGCCUCUUCCAUGUUCUAGUUAGCUGCUAAUGAAAAAAAAAACUUAUUCUAAAGUAGUUUUGUUUUCAUUUCUGAGUCUUUUCCAGAGAGAAAAGAAUAGUUUAUUCUGUUGAAAGUGAUGGCUGUACCUUUCAUUGGGUAUUUAUGAUCCUUAUUAUAAGCACGUGGGACACAAAACAGUUAACAGGCGAACAGACUGAACUGAGAUAUGACAAAACAUCAGCAAAGGCAUAUGGUAUAAAUCUGACAGGUGAAGCAUGGAGAUGAAGAUCAGCCUAGCAGCUCUUAAUUUUCAUUUCCACUCAAACUUCAACAGAGAUGAAGAACCGCCCCAAGAAGCAGCUGCACUUUUCUUAUGGUUUACCUGGCACAGACUCAAGAAGGGCCUUUACCUUUCAGAGGAGGAAUGCUUCUUCUCCAAAACUUUCUGUAUUAUCCAUCUUGUUCUUUCCUAUCUUAGUCAAUUCCUGGAAAUCAAACACACCAGAGAGUUCUUAUUUGUCUUUCUGUUUGCUUGCAGAGCUAUAGUUAGGAGAGGUAAUCCUUAUGGCUUGGACUCAGUUAUUCCACUGGCUUAUGCUUUGUCUUCUGAAAUACAGACAUUUCUCCUUGCCAAAAGGCCAGCUGAAGCUUAUCCUGUUCUCCCUAACUAGUUGACUUUUGUUUCUUCCUCUGUCAGCAUUUAAUUAAGGUUAUUCCCUAUCUUAAUUAGCCAAUACCAGUUCUCUAUCAUCUCUCUCCUAACCUCUUCUGUCAUGUUUACACAAGGCCCAGACUGACCCAUAGCUCAGCAAGGUGCAAACUGCAUUGUCUCUUCCCUGACUCACCUUUCUCUAUUUCUCACCUCUAUCCCCAGAGCUAAAAUCAAAAAGCCUUGGCCACUUUAUUGCCACCUUAUUGAAUCUUAAGCAGUAUUUCUAUUGGGGUUUCAAUGCUACCUGGGACACUGCAGUGCCAGAAUUGCAUAAGUAUGUCAUGAAAACACAGAGGAAGGGGAGCAGGUUGGAGUCAAGUUGCCAAUGAAUGUUGAAUAAUGGAACUAGAAAAAUGCUGAGAGUCACUUUAAGCUGGAAGCUUACAUUAACAUCUUUAUUCUAUAAUUACAUGGUAUACUCAACGGUUCUUAUUUUCGAUGGGUGUUGUGCAGUAAAGAUGCAUUAGAGUAAUUAUAUUGUAAUGACAGAAGAUCAGGAGUUAAAGAUGUUGUGGAUCUUGUUAGUAUACGCAUCUGAAAUUGUUUGGAGCUGAUUUGGGAGGUGUAUCCACAUGGAAUUUGAUAACACUGAUAUUGUAAUUAAAGCUGAGGAGAUGGGGUUUGUACUUAUUUCCUACUGCUGCCUGUGAAUAUUAAGUAGCUCAUGUAAUCACCUGACCCUAGCAAUAAUCAACUCUGUUAGUCAGAGCAGGAGGGAAAAUGUGAAUUGUCCACUAAAUAUUUAUUGAGAAAGCCAAGAUGAAAACAGCACAGUUGUAAUGGAGAACAGAGGCUCCUGGGCUUCCAGGAGCCUCCUUCCUGGUGCAAGGAAGAGCAGAAUCCUUCCAGUCUCCUCCAGCCUCUGCCUCAUGGAGGACAAGGACACUUGCACCACAAAGACGACAAACGCACCUGGUUUGGCACACAAAUGAGAACUAUAGUCUGAAGUGAUCUCAGGUUUCUGAUGACAGCUGAGACUUCUUUUUGUUGCUUGUAUUCCUGCCAGCACAAGCUAUAAGGAGGAGAGGUGAUCCCAAAAGGCAGAAAAUGUAGAUCUGAGCUGAAGGGCAUUCCUAAGUCUGGACACCCUGGAUAAAAACUUGUGUGACUGUUUCUGAGUGCUUCAGCAUCACCCUCAGAAGAGGGAAAUAACACUUCAUCUCUUGCCAAGAGAAGGUAUGGGGAGGGGAACCUGUCUCUUCUACCCGGGAAAGCCCCAAGAAUUUAAGUAAAACUGAAAAGCCUAUCCUCAAGACAGAAUACACAAGUGAUAAAUGUCUUUGCCUGGCAAAGCAAUCCCUUUCACAGUUCACACCAAUGGUGUAGAGUGAGCUUUGGGGAUACCCAGAAAAAGGAGUUUCAGAGAGAGAUUUGAAUGCUUCCUUUUUAAAAAUGGCAGUCUUUAAAGCCAUAGAGAAAAUGAAGACCUGUCUGUAUCUGUAGCAUAGCUUGGUAGCUCUCUUUCUCUCCCUGUUAGGUUCUGGUCUUGUUUGCUGCAGCAGCAGUCUUCCUAAUGGUUUCCUGAUAAAACUCAUUAGUGUGUUCAGAUUUUUGUCCUUCUCAAAGCUCCUUUGACUCUUUCCAUCACAAUCCCCUCCCCUGUCAUGAGGCUCUGAUCACCCGUGGUAUAUAGCCUUCAGAGUCUGUGUGGAGGGGCAGGCUGUGCUGGAAAUGUGGUGCAUACUGAAUCGCUUCAGGGUUGGCUAGGCAGUAAUUCUCAGAAGAGGUGGCGGAGCACGGUGCUGCUGUGUGCUGGUGCCUUGCUGCUGCUCUGCUGGAGAUCCGUGAGCAGCAACAGCACUGCAAGUCCUCUUUCUUCUUUCCUGACAGCGCCGCAGUACCUGUAUCUUAAUCAGUCAGUGUCAGACAGUGUCACAGGCUCGAAAUGCUUCUCUAAGCAAAGCACAGCACAAAUACCUCCCUGCUGCUUGUAGCUUAGGUUACCAUUACCAGACUAGGCUCCCGAUGUAACACUUAAAUGCUCCAAAGCAGCUGAAAUCCUCGGGCAUGUCGGCGCCAACACGUGUGCAGAACAGGACACCCCUCGGCCCCACACCAGACUGCUUCUGUGCUCUCGUGAUUCUCACUGCAGCUGCCACUCCAGUAGCAACAGCACAGGCAGAGGCAGAGCUGACAAAGGACCGCCGGUGUGGCUGAUGCGAUUUCAGUCGUGUAUGUUAUAGCAAAAAGAAUGAGGACAUGUUGUAUUUCUUAUAUCAAAAUGAUAUGUGCUCCUCAGGCUGUCUGAUUUAUAACUUCCCUGAAUGGCAUUAUUGAAAUCAGAAAGGAACAAGGCGGAAACCUAUCCAAAAUGAAAUGGUGACAUAAAUAAGAGUUUUAGAGGAAACAACGGAAGAGCUGACAAUAGGCAAUAAUUGCAGCUCCAUCAAAGCUAGAGUAGUUUACUGUUCCCAGCAGUGAAUCUAGCAUCAAAGGGAAUCCUAAACCUGAAACCCUUGGAAAGAAGUGAGUUAUCAGCAGUACAAGGUGAUUCCUGUGGAGAACAAAGAGAACGUUUUGUGAGUGGGACAGCCUGGACUUCCCCAAAUUGGAGGCAGAGUGCUCUUCCCUGAGCGUGCUGAGGUUAAGAUUGGGCUUUUAGGCCUUUUGCUGUGUCUGCAUUUUCCUUGAGGCCUUGUACCAUUGAGGCAUGGGGAAAUAGGGCUUUAUUUUUCAAAAGAUUAUUCAAGUUGCAUCUGUUCAGAGGAUCUUGCCAGAGAAGUCUUCAAGUUCCCUCGGUUAGACCUGUUGUGUUAACAGAGGAAUCUGCUGAACCUUGGCACCAUGGGCACGGAAUAUUUACGGCAGCUUUAUUAAAAUUUUGGUGUUAAAAUACUUUACUGAAUAACAGCCAGCAAUCAUAAAUUUCAGUAACUUGAAUUUUAGCUUGUCGGUUAUCUUUUGAGUGUCCUUCUGAUGCUGUGUGUGUGGAAGAAAAGUAACUGAUUGUUUGGAGCUCUUGCCUAUGUUCAAUUAAUGUGGAAAUGCAGAGGGGAGAUGAUAACUUUCCACUAGGUGUUCCAAUUUGUCUGGGUCAGUCUGUGCACUAACAAGAACUGUCUUCACGUGCAGAGGAAGGCAGUUUUACUUUUGUCUUUGAUUUUCACUGACAGUAUUCCUUCUGUCCCCUUCAAACAAUAAGCAUUCACCCAUCCUUUGGGCUGGGUUACAAGAGUGGCUCAGUGUGGUAUAUCCUCCACAGCAUUCAAACCAAUCAUACCCAAGUCUUUCUACUUGAUGAUAUGUAUGAUAACAAUUUUAAGAUGUCUCUUUCCAUGCGUGUACACAAAAGGAUGAAGAAAUUGUGGUAUUUUUAUUACAUGCAAAAGGCUAUUCACCCAUUUGAGCUGUUGUUGAAUUGAAACCUUGUUCAAAAACAAGAUAAAAAGUGAAAACAGUAUGCUUGGUUUUCAUCUUUGAAAUCUUACACAGAUUUUAAGUAAUUUGGGAACGAGAGAGAGGACAAAAAUGCUUAAAUACUGCAUAUUCAGAGGUCUUAGCUUUAGUAAAAUGUUCUGGCUUUAUGACUCUGCCUUGUAAUUCAUUUCAGCUACCCCAGAAGUAAGAAGACAGCAGUGGUGUUUCAGGGGCUGACUGCAGAGGUCGUAACCUUCUGCACACAAUAUAUUGAACAAUUCCAUCAUUCUUGUAUUCAAAGUGAAUUUGGACUGACAUAGCAGAAUAGAAAAAAUGCUUAAUAAUCCAGGGGUUUUAUUACACACACACACACACACACACACUGUCUCAUAGGUAUGCAUUCAGCAAAGAAUGGGUGUGACACUAUAAUAGGUGUACUAAAAAAGGCAAUCUGUUCACGCCAAUAUCUGCAUUCAACACACUGAGAUUAAAAACAACUGUUUUCACUUAUUCUGGUAUUUAUCCUGAUCAGCUUUCUGUUUGUUUAAGAAAAUCUGUUACGCAAAGUGGUAAAUAUGAAAUUUAAGAGACAGUAUUUUUUAUGAGUAGUGGUAGACGCUGUGCUCUGAGCCAAGAAAGGGAUGGAGGAGGCAUUGUCCUGGCAAGCACUGGGCUGCGUGCAUGUCCUCUGGUGAGGAGAGAAACUUUCCGCUGCGCUGCCCCUCCAGCUUCCUCAAGAGCAACCAUGGUGAGUGCUUCCAGGGGCCAACUCAUCAGCCCAGGUGCUGAAUCAGCCCAAGAAUUUUUAGCUACAGGAGAAAAAUGGAUCACACCAGAGGACUUUCUCCUUGAAGAGAACUUCACCCUGUUCUAAUCAGAGAUGCAAAUUAUGGAGGUACUCCGGGCUCCUUUAACCAUUCUCAGCAUCUUAUUGCAAUAAGAAUUGGAAUUCAUGGUCAAGCACUUUUCAUCUUAGGCAAAAUCAUAGUUAACCCUUUGAUGUGAUUAAAGUAUGUAGGGAGAUCUCCCAGACUUCCAUCUCCUGGAUAAGAUAAGCAAGGAAACCACAGUAUGCCUUAGGAGAAAGAGAAGCUUUCCAGCUUCCAGCUGUCUCCUGCCCAUUUCCAGAUGCUCACUUGAGCUGUAGGAGUUGUGGACCAAUUUCACCAACAGAUGAGAGUACCUCAGAACUUUUCAUACUCUUGGGCCCAACUGACCCUCUAAAAAUCAGGACCAAGGAUAGGAUACUGAGCUUUAAAUCCAGGGCUUUAAGGCCUUAACUGUUGAUUAGAACACAGAACCAUCCUUCCACUAUAGAGAAGUUCCUCACCAUGAGUAAUUCUUCAUUAUCAUCACUUAUUUCCUAAUUGCUUUUGCUUUGCAGUCUGACUUAUAUUAUCAUGAAAUGAAUUACAUUGUAUAACCACUGCUACCAAACUCUUCAACCAUAUGUUGUCAGUCAUACUUUUUCUUCUCGUCAUUGCAUUACUGUCAUGCUCUAAGCUGUUUAUGAGUUUUGAAAUAUGAAAUUUUGGUCUUGCUCAGUUUUAAGAUAACCCUGCUGCUUAAAUGAAGGAAUAUCACAUUUACCAUACAGAGAGAUUUAUUUAAAAGCCAACUGUGAAUUACACGGAGGAAUCUGCAGUAAACCAUGACAAUAAAUAAUGAGAGGAUGUUUGCCUGGAGGACUUGUCCCUAAUGAGGUUUGGUCUUAAAUAGGCAUUCUGUUUGGAAAUCAGAUACCUUUUGUUUCUUGAGGUUUUCAUGUUUCUCCCUAUUAAGUGGGGUUUUCUGAGAGAUUUGUUAGUAAUGGGGUCAGUAAUGGUUACACUUUACAGGAAAAUGUGUGACUAUGAAAAUACUUGGGGGGGUUGGGGGGGGGGAAGGGAAGGAAGUGGAAAAUAAUAAUGUUAGGUCCUAUUCAUGUACAAGUCCAAUUUCUGAUAUUUAUUUGCUUGUUUAUAACCUAAAAAUCUUAUCAAGACAGCACAGCUGUUUUGGAAGGAGGCAAACCCAAGAAUUCUAAAAAUGAGAUUAUAUUGUUAAGUAAAAACCUAUUAUUAGGGUUCAUAUUUCUACUCUGAAGUGCACCUCCUUAUAUUGUUACAGUCUUGUGUAGGAGCUGUUCUCAAACAGUCUUUCUGGAGACUUAUUUGCUGAAUGCUUCUGAGAUACCAGAAGGUAAACAGAUAGCCUGGAAAAGGGAUAGGAAAGUUACCAGAUCUCAGAAUUCUCCUGUAAACAAAUUCCCACUGAUUAAAAGGUAGCUGGAGUAUAUGGAAGGCCACAAUUAUCAAAAAGCAGUAUGUUUGGCAGACAGUUUUGGUUGGAUCUUUCAAGCUACAUUUACCUCCACCUUGAUUUCUAAUAACUAUCUUCUGGGAUGAAGUUCUCCUCUGCUCAUUAGUAGCUUGUUCCCAUACUGGGCAGAACUCCCCUUAAAAAUAGAGGAAAGAGGGGAAUAAUACUGUUAAACACCUAAAUUAAAUAAGCCCUCUCAUGAUCUAAAGCAGCCCAACCAUUUACUUACUGCAGUGAGCAGUAUGUCCUCAAGUUAAGGAGAAUGACAAUGGAAAAAUCUUUACCUCAGCUGCACAUCUGAUAGCCCUGAGGCAGAAAACAGGUUUGAAAAGCAUCUAACCAGUAGCUGUGCAGUGUCUGGCUAUUCAGGUGGUACAUGAUUUGGCAGCCAAGUUAAAUUCAAGAAAAAAAAAAUUGCUCCUCACCUUUGGCAACAUCUGCUUGAGUGACAAAGUGAGAGAUCAGUCGCUCUGCACUCCAAAACCUAGUUUUAUUUCUGACUUGCAUUCAUUGUGCUUGGUCACUGUGCUUUGCACUAACCCAACUGCUUGAACCUCUCACAGUGCAAGCAACUUGAUAAUGCAAUACUCCAACAAAAGAUUGAAAGAGAAUGCAGCAAGCUUAACACAUCCCUCUGAUUACUCUAUAAGGGGGAGUUAGAUUCUUAAAAAAAAAAAAAAAAAAAUCCCUGGUGGCCUCACUGUUUUCCAGGCAUCUUUCUAGAUAAACUUUUCCUAUGGUAAAAUCAUUACAAAGUAGAAAUACAGUCUCUCCAAGGGCUACCUUGAAAACCUAGUCUAAUAUAAAGAGCUAUAACACAGUAAUGAAUCCUGUAGGCAAAAUAGGGCUUGUUUUGACCAGCUUUAUCAAGUGAAGAAAUGGGAGAAAACUUUCCAUUAGGAGAAUGUUAUUUUUGACUGAACUAUAUUUUGGGAUGUUACAAAGCCAAGGUCUCUCAGAAGGCUGGAGCCCAAACUCUAAACUGAAAAACACUUGAACUUUUUGAAAUGUGAGCUCUUACCUGCGUUGUAUUUUUGAAAAGGUAGUGCUGAGAAUGCUGAUGUUUGAAUCUCUCUGAAAUUUAAAUCUGGAGCUAGUUUCAAUUUUUGCCUCUUCAUGGCAGCUGCAGCAUUUUUCUGCUUUCAUUCCCUUAGAGGCUGUUGCAGGGUGCACGUUCUGUGAUAAAGGAGGCUGUGAGUAUUUUACUGCUACAAAGGAAGGAUGUCCCUUCCCAGUCACCUGCAGCUAUAUCAGGGCCUCCGAUAGGUGACAAAAUAACAAAUAUACCUCCACCAGAGAAGCAUGAAGGGAAUCCAGGCUAAUAUGACCUCACAGAUCUCUGAAAAUACUUACUGGGAAUUUUUAUAUGUAAGGAUAACACAAAGUGAAGCCCCUCCUAAAAGAAAACUUGAAAGCAGCCAGUGGGGUAGAAAGGGGGUGAGGGGAAAAAAAACCUAAUUCUUAGUAAAAAAAAAAAGCAAAUUUCUUUUUGAGAGAAAGACAAAACAGAUGAUAGCUAAGGUAGAGAUUAGCAAGCAUACAGAAGGAUAUACACAGUACUGAAAAGUGGAGACACCUACAAAAAUAUUCUUUACCUUCUUAAGAUGCAAUUGUAACUAUUUGUAAAAUGGAUUUGAGACUAACAAUGCAGCUUACUCUCAUGUAAGAUAAUGCUUAAUUUGGAACAACUACAACAAAACCUAAGAAGCACACUGAUAAAGCUGGAGUGAGUUUUAUAGUAAUCAAGCUAUAAAAAUAGGGUUUUUAAAUCUUCAUAUUCAUAUAAAUCAAAUAUUCAUUCAUAUAAAUCUUUAGAUUAUAAUCAACUAAACAUAAAAUAUGAAUUCCCCAUUUAGUGUUAAUUAAGAUCCUUGUGUGUAAUGGGAAAUUUUGGAUGUUUGAAAUCACAGCAUUUCUGCUACCUACAAAGAGACUGUAACAUGAUUCAGUGCCUUAACAACAAACAUAUAAAACAAACUCCUAACAACUGCACUUCAGAAUUGUACCUAAUUUCUUUCCAGCCGAGCAAUAAUCUCUGAGAAUGUACCCAUUUAAGUAGUAAAAUUACACUGGAUGAAUGUCAAAGAUCAUCUCCCGUCCGUUCUGAGAACAUUUGCAGUUACUGUGGCAGAGGUGUGGGUUUUGUGGCUUGGUUAGUUUUUGUUCCUUUUUUUUUUCUUUGUUUCUUGGUUUUAUUUAAUAUCUGAAGGUGCCAUGUGGUGCCCUGCUGCUUUUAUUUGUUGCUGGUGGUAUUUGGUAUUGGUUUUUUUUUCCUUAAGCUAUGCCCAUGAAAAGCUAUGAUUCUGUGUUGCCAUAAUGCCUGUCGAAAGCUUUGUGAUGACUUUAGGUCAAAUUUUAUUUUCUGAUAGGUGAUGGUGUGGUUAUUGUUUUUCUUUGGGCAUGGGCCAAACCACGCAGAUGGCAUACUAGGACGAGCCUGUGGAAGGAGACCAAUGGUUUUGUUGCCAACUCUUCGAGAAAAUCAGAGGAGCGACUGGGAAAUCUGUCUUCCAUGGAAAAGAGGAAAGAUGCUAAGGGACAGGAUGUACCCUCCUUGACAGUGUGGUCAAACAGCCAGCUUCCUCACUUGUCCCUAAAGAGCUCUCAGACAACUGUCUAGAAAAGUGCACAGUCUCCCCAGCUGUUAACAGCAGGAUAUACUGCAGCACUCCAGACUGCUGCUGCCAUGUCGUUUCAGUGCCUCCGGGGUCAGCUCAGUGUAUUAAAUUAACAGUUUUCCCAGGCAAUGCAAAAUGUCUGUGAACAGAAUGGUGCAGCAUAAUAAUGGGAUACAAGGGGAAGAUACCUGCUUAAAUAUGAAAUGUUUUGGUAAGAGCAGGAGACGUUGAAGUGGUUCUGACUUACAUGACUUAGUGCCAAACACACGUUGUCACGCAGCAGUCCCAGCACGCUGUGUCUGUUCACCACCACUUCACAUUUUCAUAGCUUAUUUUAGAACAGUUGCAUUUUUUUUUCCAUCCUUAAUAAUUUAUGAGCUUAGAAUUAUCGAUAACGUGAAGCUUCAUUAUAAACUAUCAGGAGGAUUCUCAUCUGACUCGUCCCAUUAAAUUAUUAUUCCCAAACAUGAUUUAUAUUUAAUAAGACAUCAAUUGAACAUCAGUAAAAAUAAUAAUUAAUGAACUAUAUCUUCACAGAAAUACCAAUAGCUUAAAGACAAGCAAAUGCUGUGUACGGUCUGCAGGUCAGCUGUCAAACCUCUCUGAGAAUAUUUGUCUGUUUAGUAUUUAGAAUAUGAUAGUAAACAACAAAGAUAUUGCUGUGGUCUUCAGCUGAUUCUUGUGACAACUGUGGACCACGCCAAACCAUGAACCUGUAAGGCAGAACUGGGAAGUAACAAAGUGUUCUGUGUAGGUGAGGAGGUAAUCUCAAAACACUACAAAUGCCCAAGCAACUUCACGUUUCCACAAACAAAAUGUCAAAAGAAUUUUGGUUUGGGUAAUUUUUUUUCUUUAACAUGAUCUACUGGAUUGAAACGCUCUAUUUCUCCAUACAGAAAGUUAAAAUAAACAAUUUUACUGAUUGAAACUUCUGCCUAAAAACACAUUAAAAUAGCCUAAAGUUCAA